GCAACGGUGUCUUUAGACACCACCACUGCUGUCGGGAAAGCUUUG
Molecule: non-coding RNA, 45 nt
Organism: Picea glauca (white spruce)
Lineage: Eukaryota; Viridiplantae; Streptophyta; Pinopsida; Pinales; Pinaceae
Source: Rfam